This 449-nucleotide ribosomal RNA is filed under the name uncultured bacterium. RNAcentral's name for it is "partial 16S ribosomal RNA". It matches the Rfam family "Bacterial small subunit ribosomal RNA", at positions 29 to 523 of the family's 1533-position model. The record is from RNAcentral.
AACGAACGCUGGCGGCAGGCCUAACACAUGCAAGUCGAAAGCCCUGGCAACAGGGAGUGGCAGACGGGUGAGUAACGCGUGGGAACGUGCCCUUCGGUUCGGAAUAACUCAGGGAAACUUGAGCUAAUACCGGAUACGUGCGAGAGCAGAAAGAUUUAUCGCCGAAGGAUCGGCCCGCGUCCGAGUAGCUAGUUGGUGAGGUAACGGCUCACCAAGGCGACGAUCGGUAGCUGGUCUGAGAGGAGGAUCAGCCACACUGGGACUGAGACACGGCCCAUACUCCGCCGGGAGGCAGCAGUGGGGAAUAUUGGACAAUGGGCGCAAGCCUGAUCCAGCCAUGCCGCGUGAGUGAUGAAGGCCCUAGGGUUGUAAAGCUCUUUCGCCAGGGACGAUAAUGACGGUACCUGGAUAAGAAGCCCCGGCUAACUUCGUGCCAGCCGCCGCGGUAA